CUGGAAGCCAUCCAUGCGGCACUUUCCUUCCAGGGCCCUGAUGUGUGACAGUUUCCUGCGUGAGACUUCCCUUCUUACUUGGCACUUGGAUUUUAAAAUGACUCAGUGAUUAAUGCUUCAGAGCUGCACGUGAUAAUUGUCUUGGCAGAAGGCGAUGUCUUUGUUCUUAGUCACACACCUUUUGUGUGGUGUUUCCCACUCUGGCUCCCUUAUUUAUGACCUGUUGGCAUGCAUCUAUAUUUAGCAAGUAAAUUGCUGAUAUCUAACGAGUCAUCAAAGAAUAAGAAAAUGUUCGAAGACAUCUCCCACAGAGCUCUCUGGUCUAGUUCCUGUAUCAUUCCCAUUCAUCCUUAAAAGCAGAAAGUAUUUACUCGAUGUUUGGCCUGGGCUUUCAGCCGUGGGAAAAAAAUUCACCUUUGAGUGCCCAUAUUAAAAGCCAAAACCAAGUAGACAUGGGUGAGAAUUCUCAAGCAGACUCCUAAGAUCUUUCAAAACUCCUCAGAGGAUUAAAAACCGAGCCCUAGAAACAGGUAAGAGAGGGAUGGAAUCUGAAGUGCUCUAUUCUAGUCUUUGUGUGUAUGGGGAUAUGGGGGCAUCAAGAUAGGGUUUCUCUGUGUAGCUAUGGCGGUUCUGGAACUCACUCUGAAGACCAGGCUGGCCUUGAACUCAGAGGUCCUCCUGCAUCUGCCUCCACAGUGCUAGGAUUAAAGGCCUGCAAUGCCGCCACCACCACCACCACCGUCACCACCAUUACCCAAUGGCCUGUUCCACUCUUCAACAUUCCCACUCCCACCAGUGCUCAAACACUCUUGUGGCCGAAUCAGGGAAUGGAUGCACUGGUUUAAGAAGUGGAAGACGGACGUCGCUGUAACAAUUAUUGAGAAAAAAAAACUUUAGUUGCUAUCUUCUACGAUUCAUCCAGACAUAUUCCUGUGAGAGCUUUGGAAUGAUUGACAUUUUCUAAAGAUAACUUUAUCAAACGAGAUUACCAAAAUCUUGACAGAUAUAGCACUAGUGACUAAUUUUCAAAAUGAUGGACAUGGCAUUAGAGAGAUGACUCAGCAGUUAACAGCAUAUAUGACUCUUCAAAGUACCAGAGCUUGGUUUCCAGUACCCACAUUUGGUGGCUUCAGCCUCAGGAAGCCCAACACCUCCAAGAAUACCUGAAAUCACAUGUGCUUAACCCAACGCUAUACAGAAACAUACAAGCAGAAAUAAUAAAAAC
Molecule: long non-coding RNA, 1225 nt
Filed under: Mus spicilegus (steppe mouse)
Lineage: Eukaryota; Metazoa; Chordata; Mammalia; Rodentia; Muridae
Description: lncRNA (ENSMSIG00000019760.1)
Source: RNAcentral